GAGUUUGAUCAUGGCUCAGGACGAACGCUGGCGGCACGCCUAACACAUGCAAGUCGAACGGAGAUAUUUUGGUUUACUGAGAUAUCUUAGUGGCGGACGGGUGAGUAACACGUGAGCAACCUGCCUYUGAGAGGGGGAUAGCUUCUGGAAACGGAUGGUAAUACCUCAUAACAUAACGAAGCCGCAUGACUUUGUUAUCAAAGAUUUAUCACUCAGAGAUGGGCUCGCGUCUGAUUAGAUAGUUGGUGAGGUAACGGCUCACCAAGUCGACGAUCAGUAGCCGGACUGAGAGGUUGAACGGCCACAUUGGGACUGAGACACGGCCCAGACUCCUACGGGAGGCAGCAGUGGGGAAUAUUGCACAAUGGGGGAAACCCUGAUGCAGCGAUGCCGCGUGGAGGAAGAAGGUUUUCGGAUUGUAAACUCCUGU
RNAcentral lists this ribosomal RNA (430 nucleotides) under uncultured Bacillota bacterium. RNAcentral describes it as "bacterial SSU rRNA". The record is from RNAcentral. Lineage: Bacteria; Bacillati; Bacillota.